CAAGACGAGCCCAGAACAGCCCGCCGCGGCCUAGGCCUGCACUGCCCCCUGCCGGCCGCAGCUGCUCAGGACUAGGCUCAUCCCAAAAGCAAAGGAAGGGCGAGAGGCUGCCGGCUUUUGGGUGAUCAAAAGGCCUGGCGGCGCCCAAAGUCUCUGCGCAUGGGCAGAGUGUCUUUCUCCAAAGGAACGGCCACUGCCGCUGGGAAAAGCACUUGUGGGAGGAAAUGCCUCUGAAUUUGCGCAUAGUGCCUUCCUUGCAGCUUGAACCCUUGAUUAGUUUUUCCCCCUUCUUGGGGUGGGGUGGGGGAAGAGAUCUCCAAGCAAAAUACCUCCGUUUGAGAGACCCAGCCAUGUGCAGAGUGCCUUUCUUAAAUAGGAAGCGGCCAUGUCCUGAGGCAGGCCACUGGUCUUUCUAGCUCAUUGUUGUCUGCUCUGACUGGUGGCAGCUUUCCAGGGCUUCAGGGCCUAGGGAUGUGCAUGACCCUGUUCAGAGGCCCCCUUUUACGGGCCUCCAAAUAGGUUUGGAGGGUGGUUUAUAAAGAUCUUUUUUUUAAAUAACCUGCUCAGCCUAUGGAGAAGAGAGCUGGUCUUGUGGUAGCAAGCAUGACUUGUCCCCAUAGCUAAGCAGGGUCUGCCCUGGUUGCCUCUGAAUGUGAGACUUGAUGUGUGAGCACUGCAAGAUAUUCCCCUCAGGGGAUGAAGAAGAGCAGAAGGUUUCAAGUUCCCUCCCUGGCAGCAUCUCCAAGAUAGGGCUGAGAGAGAUUCCUGCCUGCAACCUUGGAGAAGCCGCUGCCAGUCUGUGAAGACAAUACUGAGCUAGAUAGACCAAAGGUCUGACUCAGUAUAUGGCAGUUUCCUAUGUUCCUAUGCCAUUUCUUUUGUGGGUUGGGUGGUAGGUAGCACCCAUCAUACCCUACCACAGAACCCACUUUGGUGCCCCUAAGAGCUACACAUGGGGAGCAAUAGGUUGUUUGUUCCCCAUUGUUCUCUAUGGCCAAAUCACCUGAAUAGUUUUUGAGGAUUUUGCCAUUCGUUCCGUGCACAUCUCCAAUUUCUAAAGCAUUGUAUCAGCUUGUACAUUGUCUCCUUUUAUUUUCUUUUGAAAAAUGCAAUGUGUGUGUGGGGAGGGGGUGCUGCAAAGUUGAUGGCAGCUCAGGAGAAGGGGUGAUUAACCCUUUCCCUGCAAGCCAUUUUGGCAAUCAUAUCAUUCCCACAGCUUGUUUCUUCAACUUGCAGGGAUAAAAUAAGAAAAAUGCCAUGGUUGAGAAAGCAAGUCAGGGGUGAUUUUGCUGACUUGUAUCAGCAGGGGAAGAUAAGAGGUGCACCCCGAAGGGUGAGGAGAGGAAAAUGAACAGCAUGCUUCAGUGGGGUGAGAGGCGGUGACAACAGGUGCCAGAGAGGUGUGUGGGGUGGUACUCCUGGAGGUAGGGCCUGCCAUCCCUCCUCCCACCCACUGACCGCCUCACCCUGCCUCAUGGAAGGGCUGCUGUCUUUCCCUGUCCCAACAUCUGUACUAUGUGGGCAUUAAUAUUUGCACAUACCUUACAAUGCUAUGUUAAAGGCUACUGAGAUAAUGUGUGUGAAGUGCUUUGAAAUUUUGAGUCAGCUAAUAUAGGCUCUUAACAUUACUACUGAAUGAAAAGUGUUUAAGAACGGCCCUGCUGGAUCAGGCCCAAGGCCUAUCUAGUCCAGCAUCCCAUUUCACACAGUGGCCUACCAGAUGCUUCUGAGAAGCCACAGGAAAGAGCCAAAGGCAUGCCUUCUCUCUUGCUGUUGCUCCCCUGCAACUGAUCUUCAGAGGCAUCCUGCUUCUGAAGCUGGAGACGGCCUAUAGGCAUCAUAUUAAUAUCCUUUGAUAGACCAGUCCUCCAUGAAUUUGUCUAAGCCCCUUUUAAAGCCAUCGAAGCUAGUGGUCAUCACCAAAUCCCGUGCCAGAGAAUUCCACAGAUUAUGUGAUGUGUGAAAAAAUACUUCCUUUUAUUGGCCCUAAAUUUCCUGGCAAUCAGUUUCAUGGGAUGACCCCUGGUUCUAGCUUGUGUGAGAGAGGGAGAAAAAUUUCUCUCUGUCCACUCUCUCCACUCCAUGCAUAAUUUUAUAAACCUCUACAUCUCCCUGUAGUCCCCUUUUUUCCAAACUAAAAAGCUCUAGGUGUUGUAGAGUCAUAAGGAAGGUGCUCUAAGCCCGUGAUCAUCUUGGUUGUCCUCUUCUGGUGACCAAGGUGACCAAACUACGCAGUAUGCCAAAUGUAACCACACCAUAGAUUUUUUAAAGGGCAUUAUAAUAUUAGUAUUUGUACGUUCAGUCCCCUUCCUAAUGAUUCCUAGCAUGGAAUUUGCCUCUUUCACAGCUGUCGUGCAUGGAAUCAACACUUUCAAUGAGCUGUCUACCAUGACUCCAAGACCUCUCUCCUGGUCAGUCACUGAAAGCUCAGACCACAUCAGGGUGUAUGUGGUUUGUUUAAGAAAGCUCUUCUGUGUUUUUUAAAACAAUGUUUUUAUUAAGGAUUUGUUAUUUUAAAAUUUAACCAACACAGAAAUCAGUGUUGAAAUGCAAUGCCUCAUGAAAAUACAGACUCUAUAACAGCCACCAUCAUAAAUAAAAUGAACUUCUGUUUUCUCUAGAGAAAAUAAUAUCCAAAGGAAAAAUAAAUCAAGAAAAAUGCAAAAAUUUAGAACAAUCAUGAAAACCCUACAUCUUUUUCAAUCGAAAAUUGGCAAGGAAUAAAAAAUCUAGACGUUUUCUAUGUGAGAUGACUCCAGAAACCCCAACUGCAAGCUUUUGACUGACAUGCAGACAACAGAGCAAGGACACAGCUGGAGCACAGAUCACUUCUGUAGAAAGGAAAGAUCGGCGGACAUCAUUUCCCCUCACAGCUGGAGGCUGUUCUUAACAUAGUCAGAGGCUUCCCCAGCAACAAGUACAUGCGUGGGGAAGAGGAAGUGAUGUUCUGUGGCCAUCGGUCCUCCCUUACCCUAAAGAGUGAACCCUGUCCUGGCUGACAGGCAGUGACCUCUGGGGAUCAGCCACUCAGCACAAGGUGGCUGGGACCUAGAGGGCUUGGCAGCCAGAAGUGAAGGUUUUUCUUUGUUUUCCAGAAGGAACUAGGAGGGGAAUGAGAGAGGACGGGCGGAAGGCUUAGUGGGAUGCAGCGAUGGAACUUUUGUUGCCUCAUGGUCAAAAGCUAGCCUGAAGAAUUCUCUCAUGGAAGGACAUCUGCAGACCCUUGAGAGACAGGAUUGCAGGAAGCUUGAAAUCUCUCCUGGAGUUUGGAGUGAGUUUCAAGGACGAAGGAAGCCAGGGCUUUGGGGCUUCUGAAGGGUUUAGAGAGGGAGCAGUUUCUGAGUUAGCUCGUGUUAGAUUUCUUUCUUUUGUGCUAUGCAAAUCCUUACAAAUGGUUUAUUGUGUUUUUAUUUGUAAUGCAACAAAUUAAGAGGAACUGAGCUUGUACCUUUCUUUCCAACAAGGGCAUUGCAAAAGUUUUUGUAAACUCUCAAGGGUUUGGGGUUUUUUGUUUGUAUUUUCUUGCAUUUUUGUUCUAUGCAACUAGGUAACCACAAUUUUUAAAGUGUACCACCUCAAUAUUGUCUGAGGGUGCUUUUUGAAGUAUUCAUACAAGUUCUGAGUGUUUUUGUUACCUGUAACUCAAAGCUGAGAGAGCCUCAGACUGAAGCAGUCUGUAGUAUUUUGAAUAAAGUUUUCCUCUUUUUGUUUUUUGUA
Molecule: long non-coding RNA, 3717 nt
Organism: Hemicordylus capensis (graceful crag lizard)
Lineage: Eukaryota; Metazoa; Chordata; Lepidosauria; Squamata; Cordylidae
Exons: 2
Source: RefSeq, a predicted model, not a curated record